GGGGCGUUGGAGAUGUAUCUCCAGUACACAGGUGCCCUCUCCCAUGUACAAGGACCGAUGGCUUGGGAUAGAGAACUUGAAGGACUUGUAGUAUGAAGUCAUAUCUAAUGGAUAUAUUGAACUUUUACAAAUUGUUUAGGGGCUUUCUGGGCCUUGCAAUAUUUGUUCCCUACCAAGGAAUGUAAUUUUGUUUGGGCCCCUUAGAAAUCAGAAACUCCUUUUCAUGUGUUAUUUACCCACCCAUAUUCUUUUUAUUCCA
Molecule: non-coding RNA, 259 nt
Organism: Nicotiana tabacum (common tobacco)
Lineage: Eukaryota; Viridiplantae; Streptophyta; Magnoliopsida; Solanales; Solanaceae
Source: RefSeq, a predicted model, not a curated record